AAGGUGACUGCCGGCUAAAAGUCGGAGGAAGGUGGGGAUGACGUCAAAUCAUCAUGCCCCUUAUGACCUGGGCUACACACGUGCUACAAUGGUUGGUACAACGAGUUGCGAGUCGGUGACGGCGAGCUAAUCUCUUAAAGCCAAUCUCAAUUCGGAUUGUAGGCUGCAACUCGCCUACAUGAAGUCGGAAUCGCUAGUAAUCGCGGAUCAGCACGCCGCGGUGAAUACGUUCCCGGGCCUU
Molecule: ribosomal RNA, 241 nt
Filed under: uncultured Streptococcus sp.
Lineage: Bacteria; Bacillati; Bacillota; Bacilli; Lactobacillales; Streptococcaceae
Description: partial 16S ribosomal RNA
Rfam family: Bacterial small subunit ribosomal RNA
Source: RNAcentral